Long non-coding RNA from Triticum aestivum (bread wheat), 534 nucleotides. RefSeq lists it as uncharacterized. Lineage: Eukaryota; Viridiplantae; Streptophyta; Magnoliopsida; Poales; Poaceae. The record is from RefSeq and is a predicted model, not a curated record. The transcript has 2 exons.
CCCUGCCUCGCCGCGCCGCCUCUCCCUCAGCUCGCAGCCGCUCCUUCCCUUGUCACAUCUCGUCGCUUGUUUCCGUCGCCUCUUCUUUCGGCUGCAAGAGCAAAUCCACUCUCGGCGGCCUUGUUCUGGAGGCGCAGAUCGACCGCUGUGCCGCAGGGGGCAAGAUGCAUCACCCCGGCCGCCAUCUCCGGCUGGGGCGUUCUCCCCUGCGGCACGCACAUCUGUAGCACUACUCUGCAUCCAGCAGUCGACUUUUUGGUGUGGAUCUCUGGUUUUCCCGAGCCCCCAUCUUGCUGAAGUAACCGUGGAGCGUGAUGACAUGGAUUUUUGUCGCCCCAGUCUUAGGAUCCGGCUCGCCGGACCUGUGCUGAUUGACAUACGUUAUCUAAUCUGACUCUGCCAUAAAUCCCGUCAGCUGGCUGGAUCUCAUCGUCUCGAUCUUUCUUUAUAUGUUGGGCCUGUGAUUUUAACAAUUUGUCCGUACCAUCUGAUACAUCUGAUGAUUCACAUUUGCUAAUGCGUCUCUGAGGCCCU